RNAcentral lists this ribosomal RNA (485 nucleotides) under uncultured bacterium. Its description in RNAcentral is "partial 16S ribosomal RNA". It matches the Rfam family "Bacterial small subunit ribosomal RNA", at positions 29 to 523 of the family's 1533-position model. The record is from RNAcentral.
AGUGAACGCUGGCGGCGUGCUUAACACAUGCAAGUCGAACGAGAACGGCAUAUAGCUUGCUAUAUUUGUCAGCUAAGUGGCGCACGGGUGAGUAAUGUAUAGAUAACCUGCCCUUAAGAAAGGAAUAACAGUUGGAAACGACUGCUAAUGCCCUAUAUGCCUUUAAUACAUAAGUAUGCAAGGGAAACGCUUUAGUGCUUAAGGAUGGGUCUGUAUGGUAUCAGCUUGUUGGUGAGGUAAUGGCUCACCAAGGCUAUGACGCCUAACUGGUUUGAGAGGAUGAUCAGUCACGCUGGAACUAAGACACGGUCCAGACUCCUACGGGAGGCAGCAGUGGGGAAUAUUGCACAAUGGACGAAAGUCUGAUGCAGCAACGCCGCGUGGAGGAUGACACAUUUCGGUGCGUAAACUCCUUUUAUAUAGGAAGAUAAUGGCGGUACUAUAUGAAUAAGCACCGGCUAACUCCGUGCCAGCCGCCGCCGUAA